GCGUUUGUAGUCCAACGGUUAGGAUAAUUGCCUUCC
Molecule: small RNA, 36 nt
Filed under: Bombyx mori (domestic silkworm)
Lineage: Eukaryota; Metazoa; Arthropoda; Insecta; Lepidoptera; Bombycidae
Description: ovarian small RNA-17047
Source: RNAcentral